CUACGGGCUGCUCCAGUGGGGAAUAUUGGACAAUGGGGGAAACCCUGAUGCAGCAACGCCGCGUGGAGGAUGACGCAUUUCGGUGUGUAAACUCCUUUUAUGAGUCAAGAAAAUGACGGUAGCUCAUGAAUAAGCACCGGCUAACUCCGUGCCAGCAGCCGCGGUAAUACGGAGGGUGCAAGCGUUACUCGGAAUCACUGGGCGUAAAGGACGCGUAGGCGGGUUGUCAAGUCAGGUGUGAAAUCCUACAGCUUAACUGUAGAACUGCACUUGAAACUUCUAAUCUAGAGUAUGGGAGGGGGAGAUGGAAUUAGUGGUGUAGGGGUAAAAUCCGUAGAUAUCACUAGGAAUACCUAAAGCGAAGGCGAUCUCCUGGAACAUUACUGACGCUAAGGCGUGAAAGCGUGGGGAGCAAACAGGAUUAGAUACCCCGGUAGUC
Molecule: ribosomal RNA, 439 nt
Filed under: uncultured bacterium
Lineage: Bacteria
Description: partial 16S ribosomal RNA
Rfam family: Bacterial small subunit ribosomal RNA
Source: RNAcentral